Molecule: unclassified non-coding RNA, 2446 nt
Filed under: Hevea brasiliensis (rubber tree)
Lineage: Eukaryota; Viridiplantae; Streptophyta; Magnoliopsida; Malpighiales; Euphorbiaceae
Source: RNAcentral
UUUUAAAUUAGAAAGAUCGGCUUUAUUAGCAUUAUCUCUUUCUUCUAUAUACACAACUUACAUAUAAACUUAUCAUUAUUAUUACAAAACAAGAAAAAUGCCUUAAAAUAAGAUGGUUCUCAUUUUACACCAUUUUGAUGGCAAGAAAAACCAACUCUAUUAGGCUUCCACUCAAUUGAAUGUAUGGCUAGCAGUAGUGGUGCUGUUGUGCGGCGUCCUUUGGAGGCUUACCAAUGAGAAGUAAGCUCCUGUAGGUCCCCUUGCCAACAAGGACGAGUGAGUCCCUUGCUCCACCAUCUGCCCUUUAUCUAAAACGGCAAUAAGAUCACAGUUCUGUAUAGUACUUAGCCUAUGUGCCACAACAACACUUGUUCUCCCAACCAUCACGCGCUGUAACGCGUCUUGCACUACCUUCUCUGACUGACUAUCAAGCGCGCUGGUUGCCUCGUCCAAUAGUAACACUGCAGGAUUUUUCAGUAUUGCACGGGCUAUUGCAAUACGCUGCUUCUGUCCACCUGAUAGCUGCACUCCCCUAUCCCCACACCACGUGUCAUAUCCAUCUUUCAAUCCUGCGAUGAAAUCAUGAGCGUUGGCUGCCUUUGCUGCGUCGAUGAUCUCUGAUUCAUCGUUUUUAUUUGGUGCACCGUACACAAUGUUUUCCCUUAUGGUCCCAGCAAAUAAUGUGGGCUCUUGGCUGACCAGAGCUAUAUACUUCCUCAAUGAUCUCAAAUGAUAUGACUUGAUGUCUCGACCGUCUAUUUUCACCGUCCCCCUAAUUGGAUCAUAAAAUCUCUCGAUUAAUCCAAUGAUGGUCGAUUUUCCGGAUCCACUUUGUCCCACCAACGCCGUUGAUUUCCCUGCCUCAAUGUUGAUUGAGAAGCCUUUGAAUAUGAUCACUUCAGGCCUAGCUGGGUAUGCAAAGUCCACAUCUCGAAGCUCUACAUUGCCCAUUAUCGUUUCAGGCUUGAACCCAUCAGAGUCUUCAGGCUCAAUUUUCGUGUACCGGUCCAACACGGUGAAGACUGAACCAACAGCAUCCGAGCCCUUGGCUAGGUCAGUGGUCAUGCUUCCAGCAUCGGCUAUGACACGGCCUGUGCUUACCAAAACCAUGAACGUCUCAAAUAAGGCUUUAGCAGAGAUAUACCCUUCGGCAAUAAGCCUUCCACCAUACCAAAAAUCAAGAGCCCAAGUGCACGACAUUAGGCUUUGAGAGGUGCCGAGUCCAACUCCUGCAAACAAGGAUUGUCUAAUGCUUUCUCUCUGUGGGCCUUCUUGGGCUUUUUCGAGCAUUCGAAGAAUUCGAUCUUGGGAGGAGAAGGCAGUGAUGGUUCGGAGAUUGGACACUGCUUCUGCUGCGACCUUGGUGCUUUCAUCUUGGGCUUUGAUGGCCUUCUGGGACAUGCUUUUGAGCAGAACACGUCUGGUGUAAAAACAGACAAUGAUGAGAGGUUGGACUGCUAUCAUCACAACAGCAAGCCUCCAGGCAAUGACAAGGCCCAUUGUGCAGGCUAUGGUUACAGCUGAUACUGUUUGUACUACAAGAGCCAUUCGGUCACCCACUAGAGAUCUCACCACAUUGGCAUCUUUGGCAAGUCUGGAGCAAAUUGCACCACUUGAAUUCUCAUCUUGAUCAAACCACCCAACUUCAAAAGUCAGUAUCUGUGAAAGCAUCCUCUCUCUUAUCCUCUUGGUCAAGUACUCACCCAUGUAUGCAAAAUUAUAGUGCUGAACAAUGUUAACGAUCAUUGAGAAUAUUGCGAGCCCCAGAAAGCAUAAUGAGUAAAUCCUUAUCUGCUUCUUAAUCUCAUCAUGAUCAGUGUAAAAAUAUAUAGAUAUCAUUGACCCCAUUGCAAAUGCAUAUAAGGGUUGAACCCCACCAAAUAAAAUUGCACCUAAGCACCCAAAGCUUGCUUGUUUCCAUUCUGGCAAGUUCAAAGCUAGCAGUCUACGGAAUGAGGGUAAUGGAAAUUUUUGCUCCUCUAAUUGUAUAUUUUCUCCGGUGAUCGAACCUCGACUUGGAGCCAUUGAAUUGGCAGAACUCGACCUACUCACCAUUGAUAACCUGCGACUGCUAGUAUUAUUCAUGUCCAUUUUCGAGAUUAAAGAUGAAGAGGGUAAAUGAUAUUGAUCAUCUUCAUUGGUUUUUUCUUUUUCUCUUUGUUGAAGACGGACUAAGGUUGCGUAUGGUCCAUCUUCAAUUUCCAUUAAUUCAUCGUGAGAACCUGUUUCCAUCACCUGGCCAUCUUGGACCACGGCAAUUAUGUCGGCGUUUCGGAUGGUGGAGAGACGGUGAGCUAUGACGAUGGAGGUGCGGCCAACAGCGGCUUUAUCUAGUGCCUCUUGGACAAUGCGUUCGGAUUCCGAGUCUAACGCACUUGUUGCCUCGUCAAGGAGGAGGAUUCUUGGCGCUUUGAUUAUUGCUCUUGCAAUAGCAAUUCUUUGUUUU